CUCCCAACCCAAUGUGAACCAUACCAAACUGUUGCCUCGGCGGGGUCACGCCCCGGGUGCGUCGCAGCCCCGGAACCAGGCGCCCGCCGGAGGGACCAACCAAACUCUUUUCUGUAGUCCCCUCGCGGACGUUAUUUCUUACAGCUCUGAGCAAAAAUUCAAAAUGAAUCAAAACUUUCAACAACGGAUCUCUUGGUUCUGGCAUCGAUGAAGAACGCAGCGAAAUGCGAUAAGUAAUGUGAAUUGCAGAAUUCAGUGAAUCAUCGAAUCUUUGAACGCACAUUGCGCCCGCCAGUAUUCUGGCGGGCAUGCCUGUCCGAGCGUCAUUUCAACCCUCGAACCCCUCCGGGGGGUCGGCGUUGGGGACCUCGGGAGCCCCUAAGACGGGAUCCCGGCCCCGAAAUACAGUGGCGGUCUCGCCGCAGCCUCUCCUGCGCAGUAGUUUGCACAACUCGCACCGGGAGCGCGGCGCGUCCACGUCCGUAAAACACCCAACUUCUGAAAUGUUGACCUCGGAUCAGGUAGGAAUACCCGCUGAACUUAAGCAUAUCAAUAAGGCGGA
RNAcentral lists this ribosomal RNA (562 nucleotides) under Trichoderma sp. CT709. RNAcentral's name for it is "eukaryotic LSU rRNA". The stretch from base 173 to 326 matches the Rfam family "5.8S ribosomal RNA". The record is from RNAcentral. Lineage: Eukaryota; Fungi; Ascomycota; Sordariomycetes; Hypocreales; Hypocreaceae.